CGGCCCGGCAAGUCGCUCCUGAAAUCCUCGGGCUCAACCCGGGGGCAGGGGGCGAUACUGCCGGGCUAGGGGGCGGGAGAGGCCGCCGGUACUCCGGGGGUAGGGGCGAAAUCCUAUAAUCCCCGGAGGACCACCAGUGGCGAAAGCGGGCGGCCAGAACGCGCCCGACGGUGAGGGGCGAAAGCCGGGGGAGCAAAGGGGGAUUAGAUACCCCUGUAGUCCCGGCUGUAAACGAUGCGGGCCAGCUGUCGGCCGGGCUUAGGGCCCGGCCGGUGGCGUAGGGAAACCGUUAAGCCCGCCGCCUGGGGGA
This 310-nucleotide ribosomal RNA is filed under the name uncultured archaeon. RNAcentral describes it as "partial 16S ribosomal RNA". It matches the Rfam family "Archaeal small subunit ribosomal RNA", at positions 526 to 835 of the family's 1478-position model. The record is from RNAcentral.